AUACUUACCUUGCAGGAGAGAUACCAUGAUCACAAAGGUGGCUUUCCCAGGGGGAGGCUUAUCCUUUGUACUCCGGAUGUGCUGACUCCUGCAAUUUCUCCAAAGGUGGGACACUUGACUGCAUAAUUUGUGGUAAUGAGGGACUGUGAAGAAAAAAAAAAGCCUGAC
This is a small nuclear RNA of Phyllostomus hastatus (greater spear-nosed bat), 168 nucleotides long. RefSeq annotates it as U1 spliceosomal RNA. NCBI's taxonomy places the organism in Eukaryota, Metazoa, Chordata, Mammalia, Chiroptera, Phyllostomidae. The record is from RefSeq and is a predicted model, not a curated record. The transcript has a single exon.